This 274-nucleotide ribosomal RNA is filed under the name uncultured bacterium. RNAcentral describes it as "partial small subunit ribosomal RNA". It matches the Rfam family "Bacterial small subunit ribosomal RNA", at positions 26 to 285 of the family's 1533-position model. The record is from RNAcentral.
AGAAUCAACGCUGGCGGCGUGCCUAACACAUGCAAGUCGAACGCGAAAGUCCCGAAAGGGGAUAAGUAGAGUGGGCAAACGGGUGAGUAACACGUGGGUGACCUGCCUUCGAGCGGGGGAUAACGUCCCGAAAGGGACGCUAAUACCGCAUAACAUCCUGCCUUUUAAGAGGUGGAGAUCAAAGCCGGGGACCGCAAGGCCUGGCACUUGAAGAGGGGCCCGCGUCUGAUUAGCUAGUUGGUGGGGUAAUGGCCUACCAAGGCAACGAUCAGUA